This 1032-nucleotide long non-coding RNA is filed under the name Homo sapiens (human). RNAcentral describes it as "MIR663A host gene". The record is from RNAcentral. Lineage: Eukaryota; Metazoa; Chordata; Mammalia; Primates; Hominidae.
UGGUCCGGCGAGCGCACGUCCGGUGCUCCCCUCUGGCGGAAAUACUAGGCUUUAGAAUUUCACCAUAUGAAUUUUGGGAGAGAGGAGCACAGUUCAGCCCAUAACUAACACACGUGAUGAAGAAGACAUGCCAACAGAGGGUUAAUUCCAGAUAAAAUGAAAUGUUCCAAACAGUACGUUUGGUUAUUUGAUUCAUCUGUGGGGGAAGGAAAGAUAAUUUUCCAAAGGACAUUCCUCCUAAAUUCUGUCUUAAAGUUGUUUACGGAAUGAAGUUGAUAAUAGUGAGACCUUGUUGGUACAAGACUAUGUAACAUAACCUGCGCUUCUCAACAAAGAAUUGCUUUUCUGACUUCUGCACUCAAUAGCAAGACAAAUCUCUCCUCUGCCUUCUCCUUAUCAGACUACUCAACAUGAAGGCAAUAAGAAUGAAGACCUCUAUGUAUAAUAAUUGACUUCCACUUAAUAAAUACCUGAACAGAUGUUGAGUACAAGCUGAUCCACCUACGUUCAACCUGAGAGAGUCCACAUCCACAGACUGUUUCAUUUCCCUUUUUCAAUUUACAUAGAAGCAUAGAUUCUUGCUGGCAUAUACAAAUGCGCCAUUUAAGGCAAUCAAAAAUGGUUCCACAUCUCAUCUGAUUUCCACAAUUGUUGCUGUAACGAUGGACUACUGAGGAGAGAGACAAUUUCUCUGGCACAUCUUCCCACAUUUUAGCAACAUGUUCAUGGAGAGCCAAUAUUCAGUAAUUACAGCCCAAUUCCUCACAAUUUCACAAUUCGCUAACAAUAUGCAUUUUCACAAUGUAAAGCUGAUUUUCCUUUAACCAAAUCAAACAUGAAAAGAUAGCUGCAUGCAAUGGGCAAUCUAGAUCAUUAGAAGAUUGAUGUAAAAUUAGAGGACACUGAGACUGGAAUAGAUUGCAAACUUCAGGGAGCUCAGAAAACUUGUAAACUCUACAUUUUGAGGAAAUAUGUUGUCGAUGCUUUUGCAACUCUAUGCAGUAACUUAACAAAUAAAGCCUUAAAGUAACU